This 77-nucleotide transfer RNA is filed under the name Candidatus Dojkabacteria bacterium. Its description in RNAcentral is "tRNA-Thr". The record is from RNAcentral.
GCUGGAUUAGCUCAGACGGUUAGAGCACAUUCUUGGUAAGAAUGAGGUCCCGAGUUCGACUCUCGGAUCCAGCUCCA